UACUCAGGAGCCUCUGGCCUUUGUUAGUCUUGUAUUAUUUUAAUUUUAGUUUCUUGUGUACAAUUUGGAAAUUAGUAUGGCGUUCAUUAUCACUGAACUAGUAUAUAUUUGUUUAGGGGCCAGUUGAAGGAUGCCUCCGGGUGCGGGAAUUUCUCGCUACAUUGAAGACCUGUUGGUGACCUUCUGCUGUUGUGUUUUUUUCUAUGGUCGGGUUGUUGUCUCUUUGGCACAUUCCCCAUUUCCAUUCUCAAUUUUAUUAAAAUACA
Molecule: long non-coding RNA, 266 nt
Filed under: Mytilus galloprovincialis (Mediterranean mussel)
Lineage: Eukaryota; Metazoa; Mollusca; Bivalvia; Mytilida; Mytilidae
Source: RNAcentral